GGUGAGUAACGCGUAUCCAACUGCCCUUCACCACGGGAUAACCCGGCGAAAGUCGGACUAAUACCGUAUGUUGUCCAUUGACGGCAUCCGAUUUGGACGAAAGGCUUGGCGGUGAGGGAUGGGGAUGCGUCCGAUUAGCCAGACGGCGGGGUAACGGCCCACCGUGGCGACGAUCGGUAGGGGUUCUGAGAGGAAGGUCCCCCACACUGGAACUGAGACACGGUCCAGACUCCUACGGGAGGCAGCAGUGAGGAAUAUUGGUCAAUGGGCGUAAGCCUGAACCAGCCAAGUAGCGUGCAGGACGACGGCCCUAUGGGUUGUAAACUGCUUUUAUGCGGGGAUAAAGUGGCCCACGUGUGGGUUUUUGCAGGUACCGCAUGAAUAAGGACCGGCUAAUUCCGUGCCAGCAGCCGCGGUAAUACGGAAGGUCCGGGCGUUAUCCGGAUUUAUUGGGUUUAAAGGGAGCGUAGGCCGCGCCUUAAGCGUGUUGUGAAAUCCGGGUGCUCAACAUCCGGCUUGCAGCGCGAACUGGGGCGCUUGAGUGCGCAGAAAGUAGGCGGAAUUCGUGGUGUAGCGGUGAAAUGCUUAGAUAUCACGAGGAACUCCGAUUGCGAAGGCAGCCUACUGUAGCGCUACUGACGCUGAUGCUCGAAAGCGUGGGUAUCGAACAGGAUUAGAUACCCUGGUAGUCCACGCGGUAAACGAUGGAUGCUCGUUGUCGGCCCUUUGGGUCGGUGACCAAGCGAAAGCGUUAAGCAUCCCACCUGGGGAGUACGCCGGCAACGGUGAAACUCAAAGGAAUUGACGGC
Molecule: ribosomal RNA, 809 nt
Filed under: uncultured bacterium
Lineage: Bacteria
Description: bacterial SSU rRNA
Rfam family: Bacterial small subunit ribosomal RNA
Source: RNAcentral